GGGGGUGUAGCUCAGUGGCAGAGCAGCGCCCUUUUAAGGCGUAGGUCGAUGGUUCGAUCCCAUCCACCCUCA
RNAcentral lists this transfer RNA (72 nucleotides) under bacterium. RNAcentral describes it as "tRNA-Lys". It matches the Rfam family "tRNA". Rfam says of the family: Transfer RNA (tRNA) molecules are approximately 80 nucleotides in length. Their secondary structure includes four short double-helical elements and three loops (D, anti-codon, and T loops). Further hydrogen bonds mediate the characteristic L-shaped molecular structure. tRNAs have two regions of fundamental functional importance: the anti-codon, which is responsible for specific mRNA codon recognition, and the 3' end, to which the tRNAs corresponding amino acid is attached (by aminoacyl-tRNA synthetases). tRNAs cope with the degeneracy of the genetic code in two manners: having more than one tRNA (with a specific anti-codon) for a particular amino acid; and 'wobble' base-pairing, i.e. permitting non-standard base-pairing at the 3rd anti-codon position. The record is from RNAcentral.